GACGAACGCUGGCGGCGUGCCUAAUACAUGCAAGUCGAACGCAGUGGGGACGGGUGAGUAACACGUGGGUAACCUCCCAUCAGAGGGGAUAACACUUGGAAACAGGUGCUAAACCGAUACUGAUGGAUGGACCCGCGGGGCAUUAGCUAGUUGGUGAGGUAACGGCUCACCAAGGCCACGAUCCAUAGCCGACCUGAGAGGGUGAUCGGCCACACUGGGACUGAGACACGGUCCAGACUCCUACGGGAGGCAGCAGUGGGGAAUAUUGCACAAUGGGCGAAAGCCUGAUGCAGCCAUGCCGCGUGUAUGAAGAAGGUCUUCGGGUUGUAAAGCACUUUAAGCGGGGAGGCGUUACCCGCAGAAGAAGCACCGGCUAACUUCGUGCCAGCAGCCGCGGUAAUAC
This 403-nucleotide ribosomal RNA is filed under the name uncultured bacterium. Its description in RNAcentral is "partial 16S ribosomal RNA". It matches the Rfam family "Bacterial small subunit ribosomal RNA", at positions 28 to 526 of the family's 1533-position model. The record is from RNAcentral.